UACGGAGGAUCCGAGCGUUAUCCGGAUUUACUGGGUUUAAAGGGUGCGUAGGCGGAAAAAUAAGUCAGUGGUGAAAACCUGCAGCUUAACUGUAGAACUGCCAUUGAUACUGUUAUUCUUGAGUAUGGUCAAGGUAGGCGGAAUGUGUAAUGUAGCGGUGAAAUGCUUAGAUAUUACACAGAACACCAAUUGCGAAGGCAGCUUACUGGACCAUUACUGACGCUGAUGCACGAAAGCGUGGGGAGCGAACAGG
RNAcentral lists this ribosomal RNA (253 nucleotides) under uncultured bacterium. RNAcentral's name for it is "partial 16S ribosomal RNA". It matches the Rfam family "Bacterial small subunit ribosomal RNA", at positions 524 to 776 of the family's 1533-position model. The record is from RNAcentral.